Molecule: ribosomal RNA, 253 nt
Filed under: uncultured bacterium
Lineage: Bacteria
Description: partial 16S ribosomal RNA
Rfam family: Bacterial small subunit ribosomal RNA
Source: RNAcentral
UACGUGGGGUGCGAGCGUUGUCCGGAAUUAUUGGGCGUAAAGGGCUCGUAGGCGGUCUGUUGCGUCAGGAGUGAAAACUCGGGGCUUAACCCCGAGCCUGCUUCUGAUACGGGCAGACUAGAGGUAUGCAGGGGAGAACGGAAUUCCUGGUGUAGCGGUGAAAUGCGCAGAUAUCAGGAGGAACACCGGUGGCGAAGGCGGUUCUCUGGGCAUUACCUGACGCUGAGGAGCGAAAGUGUGGGGAGCGAACAGG